CAGUCGAGCGGACAGAAGGGAGCUUGCUCCCGGAUGUUAGCGGCGGACGGGUGAGUAACACGUGGGUAACCUGCCUGUAAGACUGGGAUAACUCCGGGAAACCGGAGCUAAUACCGGAUAGUUCCUUGAACCGCAUGGUUCAAGGAUGAAAGACGGUUUCGGCUGUCACUUACAGAUGGACCCGCGGCGCAUUAGCUAGUUGGUGAGGUAACGGCUCACCAAGGCAACGAUGCGUAGCCGACCUGAGAGGGUGAUCGGCCACACUGGGACUGAGACACGGCCCAGACUCCUACGGGAGGCAGCAGUAGGGAAUCUUCCGCAAUGGACGAAAGUCUGACGGAGCAACGCCGCGUGAGUGAUGAAGGUUUUCGGAUCGUAAAGCUCUGUUGUUAGGGAAGAACAAGUGCAAGAGUAACUGCUUGCACCUUGACGGUACCUAACCAGAAAGCCACGGCUAACUACGUGCCAGCAGCCGCGGUAAUACGUAGGUGGCAAGCGUUGUCCGGAAUUAUUGGGCGUAAAGGGCUCGCAGGCGGUUUCUUAAGUCUGAUGUGAAAGCCCCCGGCUCAACCGGGGAGGGUCAUUGGAAA
Molecule: ribosomal RNA, 590 nt
Filed under: Bacillus sp. CH403b_13C
Lineage: Bacteria; Bacillati; Bacillota; Bacilli; Caryophanales; Bacillaceae
Description: bacterial SSU rRNA
Rfam family: Bacterial small subunit ribosomal RNA
Source: RNAcentral